UUUAACCUAUUUAAUAAAUGGCUAUCUUAUUAGUCCAACUCGAUGCAACUUGUUUAAUUUGUUUAAAGCAAAACCUAUUAGCCCAACCUGUUCCGACCCAACCCAAUCUGUUUAAUACAUCAGAUAGUAAAAAAAAUCUAAAUAUAAAAAAAUUACAAUAAUUUUUUCUAGAUGGCAUUUACAUUCAAGAAGUAUUUACAUUCAAUCUUUUUUUAAGAGA
This 220-nucleotide long non-coding RNA is filed under the name Elaeis guineensis (African oil palm). Its description in RNAcentral is "long non-coding RNA (EGUI_LNC012236)". The record is from RNAcentral. Lineage: Eukaryota; Viridiplantae; Streptophyta; Magnoliopsida; Arecales; Arecaceae.